This 297-nucleotide long non-coding RNA is filed under the name Solanum pimpinellifolium. RNAcentral describes it as "long non-coding RNA (SPIM_LNC000205)". Lineage: Eukaryota; Viridiplantae; Streptophyta; Magnoliopsida; Solanales; Solanaceae. The record is from RNAcentral.
AAUUUGAUUAUUUACCCAUCUGAGUCUGAUAGAUUCUAUUUUUCUCUUUCUUCAAUAAANAGAGUAACGCCAUGGUAAGGCGUAAGUCAUCGGUUCAAAUCCGAUAAGGGGCUUUGUAAAACCCCAAUCUAGUAUUCAUAUUUGAUGGGAGAAUUGUAUUUUUAUUUGUAAUAAAAAAAGUAACUAACUGGAUAAUACAUUAUCAUUAUACUUAGUUAUAAAGUUGAACAUUUGUUUAGUCAAUUUUCAUUAGUAUGAAUUUAGGAAUAAUGAAAAGUCACUUCUUGAAUCACCGAA